CCCGCUGAACUUAAGCAUAUCAAUAAGCGGAGGAAAAGAAACUAACAAGGAUUCCCUCAGUAACGGCGAGUGAAGCGGGAAGAGCUCAAAUUUGAAAUCUAGCGUGGACACUACGCUUCCACCUAGAGUUGUAGUUUAUAGAAACGUUUUCGGCAACGCCCAUAGUAUAAAUCCUUUGGAACAGGGUAUCGUAGAGGGUGAGAAUCCCGUCUGUGACUGUGGGGUACAAUCAGUUGCUAUGUGAUACGUUUUCAAAGAGUCGGGUUGUUUGGGAUUGCAGCCCAAAAUGGGUGGUAAAUUUCAUCUAAGGCUAAAUAUUGGCGAGAGACCGAUAGCGAACAAGUACCGUGAGGGAAAGAUGAAAAGAACUUUGAAAAGAGAGUUAAAUAGUACGUGAAAUUGUUAAAAGGGAAACGUUUUAUUGGAGUAUAUUGUUGUGGAGGUCAGUUGUUGGUGGGGUCGUAGUUUUUACGGUUCCUUCAACGACGUAUUUUUCUCACGACAAGUGUCAGUAUCGGUUUUCAAUGUUUGGAUAAGCGUAGCUGGAAGGUAGGUCUCGCUUCGGUGGGGCUGUUUAUAGACAGUUGCAGUGGAUACAGACAAGGAGACCGAGGACUGCAAGGAGUACUGGAAAGUUAAUUUCUGGUGUGGUAGAUUGUAGUGUGCUGUAUAGGGACUAGAGUUAUGGACAAUCUAAUUGACUAUGACCCUAGUGCACUUGCAACCAUACUACUCAUACUCCCUCCUUAAAGAUACUGACGAAAUCCAAUUGAACGACCCGUCUUGAAACACGG
Molecule: ribosomal RNA, 794 nt
Filed under: uncultured fungus
Lineage: Eukaryota; Fungi
Description: eukaryotic LSU rRNA
Rfam family: Eukaryotic large subunit ribosomal RNA
Source: RNAcentral